CCUGGCGGCCUUAGCGCGGUGGUCCCACCUGACCCCAUGCCGAACUCAGAAGUGAAACGCCGUAGCGCCGAUGGUAGUGUGGGGUCUCCCCAUGCGAGAGUAGGGAACUGCCAGAU
RNAcentral lists this ribosomal RNA (116 nucleotides) under Escherichia coli. The record is from RNAcentral. Lineage: Bacteria; Pseudomonadati; Pseudomonadota; Gammaproteobacteria; Enterobacterales; Enterobacteriaceae.